UACGAAGGAUGCAAGCGUUAUCCGGAUUUAUUGGGUUUAAAGGGUGCGUAGGCGGACUUAUAAGUCAGUGGUGAAAUCUCGUUGCUUAACAACGAACGUGCCAUUGAUACUGUAGGUCUUGAGUACAGAUGCCGUUGGCGGAAUGUGUCAUGUAGCGGUGAAAUGCAUAGAUAUGACACAGAACACCGAUUGCGAAGGCAGCUGACGAAACUGUAACUGACGCUGAGGCACGAAAGCGUGGGGAUCAAAACGG
This 253-nucleotide ribosomal RNA is filed under the name uncultured bacterium. RNAcentral's name for it is "partial 16S ribosomal RNA". It matches the Rfam family "Bacterial small subunit ribosomal RNA", at positions 524 to 776 of the family's 1533-position model. The record is from RNAcentral.